UUCUCUGCUCGCUUUCUCUGCUCGCUUUCUCAGCUCUCUUGACGCAGCACAGCGGGUGUUGAAUGUAUGGUCAGUGCUAAUCGCAACUGACUUAAUAUGUAAACAAACUUGUUUAGCUGGCUUAUUUACUGUAAUCUUCCACUGGCAGAUGUGAAGCAGAAUCAGAAGCGGCUGGUGGAGCAGCUGACGACCAUUCUGAUGGGCUCUCCAGGCCCCUCCACACGCUGGUUGUUGGCUCUGCUCUACCGGGUAGGUGACUCCUUCACCUCCAGCCUCACUGUGGACCAUUGCAAUGACAUCAUCCACAGCAAGGACGACUCACCCAGCUUCCUGCCCUCUCGACUGGCGGCUGUGGCCUGACUGGGUGCAAUGUAUGAAUAGUUGGGCCGCCUGCUCAUCGACUCCUUUAAAGAGACCAUGGCGAAUCUUCUGAAAGCCUUGAAGGGAGCAGAGUCUCAAGGGCGCUAUGAGAUCAUGCUAUGUAUAGAGAAGAUUCUGAAAGGUUUGGGGGUGAGCGCAGUGCCCUGUCACAGAGACAUCUUCAAAGCCACCCGCACCUGCCUCACUGACCGUUCUAUGGCUGUUCGCUGUGCUGCCGCCAAGACUGCUGGGCACCUUGUUACUCUCUUCGCUCGAGCCUAAACAAGCCAUAGCCCCCAGGCCAGGCUCCAGGCGGAGCUGUCUGGAAGAGGUGAUGAAUCUGGUGUCCAGUGGCUUCUUACGAGGGUGUGCAGGCUUCCUGCAUGCCAGUGGGGAUCUACUGAAAGGCACGAACUCCGUGAGCCGAGAUGUGCGCGUGGGCAUCACACAGGUUGCUUUCUAUCUCUGACCUUGAACCUCAUAUUCAGUCAGAGGAAUAUAUGACAGCAAGACACUGUUAGUAGCAUGAUAGUAAAAUGUCUAAAGAGUGUCAUGUCAUGUUAAUUGUACAACCCCAAUUCCAACGAAGUUGGGACGUUGUGUAAAACAUAAAUAAAAUUUUUUCAUUUGACAAA
This is an RNA transcript of Pygocentrus nattereri (red-bellied piranha), 995 nucleotides long. It is a transcript of the gene named HEAT repeat-containing protein 5A-like, with no coding region annotated. The record is from RefSeq and is a predicted model, not a curated record. NCBI's taxonomy places the organism in Eukaryota, Metazoa, Chordata, Actinopteri, Characiformes, Serrasalmidae. The transcript has 6 exons.